Molecule: ribosomal RNA, 453 nt
Filed under: uncultured Barnesiella sp.
Lineage: Bacteria; Pseudomonadati; Bacteroidota; Bacteroidia; Bacteroidales; Barnesiellaceae
Description: bacterial SSU rRNA
Rfam family: Bacterial small subunit ribosomal RNA
Source: RNAcentral
ACGGGAGGCAGCAGUGAGGAAUAUUGGUCAAUGGGCGGGAGCCUGAACCAGCCAAGUAGCGUGAGGGAUGACUGCCCUACGGAUUGUAAACCCCUUUUGCCGGGGAGUAACGUGCGGUACGCGUACCGUAUUGAGAGUACCCGGAGAAAAAGCAUCGGCUAACUCCGUGCCAGCAGCCGCGGUAAUACGGAGGAUGCGAGCGUUAUCCGGAUUUAUUGGGUUUAAAGGGUGCGCAGGCGGCGCGUCAAGUCAGCGGUCAAACCCCGGGGCUCAACCUCGGGCCGCCGUUGAAACUGCCGUGCUCGAGUUCGUGCGAGGAGAGCGGAAUGCGUGGUGUAGCGGUGAAAUGCAUAGAUAUCACGCAGAACGCCGAUUGCGAAGGCAGCCCUCCAGCACUGGACUGACGCUGAGGCACGAAAGCGUGGGUAUCGAACAGGAUUAGAUACCCUGGUA